AGCACCACAACGGGUGGAGCUUGCGGUUUAAUUGGAUUCAACGCCGGAAAUCUUACCGGGACCGACAGCAAUAUGAAGGCCAGGCUGAAGACUUUGCCGGAUUAGCUGAGAGGUGGUGCAUGGCCGUCGUCAGUUCGUACUGUGAAGCAUCCUGUUAAGUCAGGCAACGAGCGAGACCCACGCCCACAGUUGCCAGCGUACUCUCUGGAGUGACGGGUACACUGUGGGGACCGCCGCUGCUAAAGCGGAGGAAGGAAUGGGCAACGGUAGGUCAGUAUGCCCCGAAUAUCCCGGGCUACACGCGAGCUACAAUGGUUGGUACAAUGGGUAUCUACCCCGAAAGGGGACGGGAAUCUCCUAAAACCAAUCUUAGUUCGGAUUGAGGGCUGCAACUCGCCCUCAUGAAGCUGGAAUCCGUAGUAAUCGCGUUUCAACAGAACGCGGUGAAUACGUCCCUGCUCCUU
RNAcentral lists this ribosomal RNA (464 nucleotides) under uncultured Methanosaeta sp. RNAcentral describes it as "bacterial SSU rRNA". It matches the Rfam family "Archaeal small subunit ribosomal RNA", at positions 875 to 1338 of the family's 1478-position model. The record is from RNAcentral. Lineage: Archaea; Methanobacteriati; Methanobacteriota; Methanomicrobia; Methanotrichales; Methanotrichaceae.